CCACCCACGUGACACCCACCCUGGCUGUAGUCAUCACCUGGGUUGCUUCCUUUGACACCUCAAACGGAGCGAGGAAAUCCAUCCCGGGCAGGAAGUCUCACUAAGCCUGGAACCAAACGUGCUGCCAUGGAGGACAUUUGGCCCCCGCCUUACCUUCAGACAGGAGGAGGGGUGCUCACACCCGGAUCCCCAGCAUGAGGGGACUACCAGGAGAGGCCCAGCAUUCCGCCAUGACCAUCCUGAGCAUCCUUCUUCCAAGGGUGGAUCCCAGCCAGCAGCGGCCAACAAAACGCUACUGGGAGGACUGGGAGGACUACCAGGACACGGCCUGCACCAGGAAGAGCAUCCGGAGUCGAAGCCGAGCCUGAGAUACCACAUGUCAGGAUGCCGUGGGGACCAACCGCAUGCUGGACCGGGUCUGGAGGUCUGGGGGGCAGAACUUGGAGAAGCUGUCCACAAUGGAA
This is a non-coding RNA of Doryrhamphus excisus (bluestripe pipefish), 464 nucleotides long. The record is from RefSeq and is a predicted model, not a curated record. Lineage: Eukaryota; Metazoa; Chordata; Actinopteri; Syngnathiformes; Syngnathidae.